GAUGAACGCUGACAGAAUGCUUAACACAUGCAAGUCGAUUCGAUUUACCUUCGGGUAUUGAGGAUGGCGGACGGGUGAGUAACGCGUAAGGAACUUGCCUCUUGGUCUGGGACAACUGUUGGAAACGACAGCUAAUACCGGAUAUUAUGAGAUUCUCGCAUGGGAAACUUAUGAAAGCUAUAUGCGCCAAGAGAGAGCCUUGCGUUCCAUUAGCUAGUUGGUGGGGUAACGGCCCACCAAGGCGACGAUGGAUAGCCGGCCUGAGAGGGUGAACGGCCACAAGGGGACUGAGACACGGCCCUUACUCCUACGGGAGGCAGCAGUGGGGAAUAUUGGACAAUGGGCCACAAGCCUGAUCCAGCAAUUCUGUGUGCACGAUGAAGGUCUUCGGAUUGUAAAGUGCUUUCAGUUGGGAAGAAGAAAGUGACGGUACCAACAGAAGAAGCGACGGCUAAAUACGUGCCAGCAGCCGCGGUAAUACGUAUGUCGCAAGCGUUAUCCGGAUUUAUUGGGCGUAAAGCGCGUCUAGGCGGAAAAAUAAGUCUGAUGUUAAAAUGCGGGGCUCAACUCCGUAUUGCGUUGGAAACUGUUUUUCUAGAGUACUGGAGAGGUGGGCGGAACUACAAGUGUAGAGGUGAAAUUCGUAGAUAUUUGUAGGAAUGNCGAUGGAGAAGUCAGCUCACUGGACAGAUACUGACGCUAAAGCGCGAAAGCNUGGGGAGCAAACAGGAUUAGAUACCCUGGUAGUCCACGCCGUAAACGAUGAUCACUAGG
RNAcentral lists this ribosomal RNA (774 nucleotides) under uncultured prokaryote. RNAcentral's name for it is "bacterial SSU rRNA". It matches the Rfam family "Bacterial small subunit ribosomal RNA", at positions 28 to 820 of the family's 1533-position model. The record is from RNAcentral.